GAUAAACGCUGGCGGCGUGCCUAAUACAUGCAAGUCGAGCGAACAGACGAGGAGCUUGCCCCUUCGACGUUAGCGGCGGACGGGUGAGUAACACGUAGGUAACCUACCUAUAAGACUGGGAUAACUUCGGGAAACCGGAGCUAAUACCGGAUAAUAUUUCGAACCGCAUGGUUCGAUAGUGAAAGAUGGCUUUGCUAUCACUUAUAGAUGGACCUGCGCCGUAUUAGCUAGUUGGUAAGGUAACGGCUUACCAAGGCAACGAUACGUAGCCGACCUGAGAGGGUGAUCGGCCACACUGGAACUGAGACACGGUCCAGACUCCUACGGGAGGCAGCAGUAGGGAAUCUUCCGCAAUGGGCGAAAGCCUGACGGAGCAACGCCGCGUGAGUGAUGAAGGUCUUCGGAUCGUAAAACUCUGUUAUUAGGGAAGAACAAACGUGUAAGUAACUGUGCACGUCUUGACGGUACCUAAUCAGAAAGCCACGGCUAACUACGUG
RNAcentral lists this ribosomal RNA (497 nucleotides) under uncultured bacterium. RNAcentral describes it as "partial 16S ribosomal RNA". It matches the Rfam family "Bacterial small subunit ribosomal RNA", at positions 28 to 507 of the family's 1533-position model. The record is from RNAcentral.